CUUCACCGACCCCAGCCACAACGGCUCGUCCCGGUCCCGGCCAUAGGUCGCCAGGAGUGCCUGGGCCUC
This 69-nucleotide antisense RNA is filed under the name Streptomyces sp. NRRL B-3648. RNAcentral's name for it is "ASpks TB sRNA". It matches the Rfam family "ASpks TB sRNA". Lineage: Bacteria; Bacillati; Actinomycetota; Actinomycetes; Kitasatosporales; Streptomycetaceae. The record is from Rfam by way of RNAcentral.